This 783-nucleotide ribosomal RNA is filed under the name Staphylococcus sp. Y33-MSE-E14. RNAcentral's name for it is "bacterial SSU rRNA". It matches the Rfam family "Bacterial small subunit ribosomal RNA", at positions 56 to 824 of the family's 1533-position model. The record is from RNAcentral. Lineage: Bacteria; Bacillati; Bacillota; Bacilli; Caryophanales; Staphylococcaceae.
UGCAGUCGAGCGAACAGAUAGGAGCUUGCUCCUUUGACGUUAGCGGCGGACGGGUGAGUAACACGUGGGUAACCUACCUAUAAGACUGGGAUAACUUCGGGAAACCGGAGCUAAUACCGGAUAAUAUUUCGAACCGCAUGGUUCGAUAGUGAAAGAUGGUUUUGCUAUCACUUAUAGAUGGACCCGCGCCGUAUUAGCUAGUUGGUAAGGUAACGGCUUACCAAGGCGACGAUACGUAGCCGACCUGAGAGGGUGAUCGGCCACACUGGAACUGAGACACGGUCCAGACUCCUACGGGAGGCAGCAGUAGGGAAUCUUCCGCAAUGGGCGAAAGCCUGACGGAGCAACGCCGCGUGAGUGAUGAAGGUCUUCGGAUCGUAAAACUCUGUUAUUAGGGAAGAACAUACGUGUAAGUAACUAUGCACGUCUUGACGGUACCUAAUCAGAAAGCCACGGCUAACUACGUGCCAGCAGCCGCGGUAAUACGUAGGUGGCAAGCGUUAUCCGGAAUUAUUGGGCGUAAAGCGCGCGUAGGCGGUUUUUUAAGUCUGAUGUGAAAGCCCACGGCUCAACCGUGGAGGGUCAUUGGAAACUGGAAAACUUGAGUGCAGAAGAGGAAAGUGGAAUUCCAUGUGUAGCGGUGAAAUGCGCAGAGAUAUGGAGGAACACCAGUGGCGAAGGCGACUUUCUGGUCUGUAACUGACGCUGAUGUGCGAAAGCGUGGGGAUCAAACAGGAUUAGAUACCCUGGUAGUCCACGCCGUAACGAUGAGUGCUAAGUGUU